Molecule: ribosomal RNA, 372 nt
Filed under: uncultured bacterium
Lineage: Bacteria
Description: bacterial SSU rRNA
Rfam family: Bacterial small subunit ribosomal RNA
Source: RNAcentral
AACGAACGCUGGCGGCAGGCUUAACACAUGCAAGUCGAACGGUUGUAGCAAUACAGCAGUGGCAGACGGGUGAGUAACACGUGGGAACCUUCCUAGGGGUACGGAACAACUCAGGGAAACUUGAGCUAAUACCGUAUACGUCCGUGAGGAGAAAGAUUUAUCGCCCCUAGACGGGCCCGCGUAGGAUUAGGUAGUUGGUGAGGUAACGGCUCACCAAGCCUACGAUCCUUAGCUGAUCUGAGAGGAUGAUCAGCCACACUGGGACUGAGACACGGCCCAGACUCCUACGGGAGGCAGCAGUGGGGAAUCUUGGACAAUGGGCGCAAGCCUGAUCCAGCCAUGCCGCGUGAGUGAAGAAGGCCUGGUUGUAAG